UACGUAGGGUGCAAGCGUUAAUCGGAAUUACUGGGCGUAAAGCGUGCGCAGGCGGUUUUGUAAGUCUGUCGUGAAAGCCCCGGGCUCAACCUGGGAAUUGCGAUGGAGACUGCAAGGCUUGAAUCUGGCAGAGGGGGGUAGAAUUCCACGUGUAGCAGUGAAAUGCGUAGAGAUGUGGAGGAACACCGAUGGCGAAGGCAGUCACCUAUCUCAUAAUUGACGCUAAAGCACGAAAGUGUGGGUAGCAAACAGG
This 253-nucleotide ribosomal RNA is filed under the name uncultured bacterium. RNAcentral's name for it is "partial 16S ribosomal RNA". It matches the Rfam family "Bacterial small subunit ribosomal RNA", at positions 524 to 776 of the family's 1533-position model. The record is from RNAcentral.